Molecule: long non-coding RNA, 237 nt
Filed under: Elaeis guineensis (African oil palm)
Lineage: Eukaryota; Viridiplantae; Streptophyta; Magnoliopsida; Arecales; Arecaceae
Description: long non-coding RNA (EGUI_LNC029965)
Source: RNAcentral
GCCGGUGUAAUUCGUCGCUCUCCUUCUUAAUUUUUUUUCUCUUUCUGAGUGAGGGUCCUCCCCCUGCUUUUCGCGGGGUCGCGUAGAGGUGUGGAGGUGCUAUUGGGGGGGGAGGUUUUUUUUUUAUCCGAUCAUGUCGGGUGACUAGAUUUUUGUCAUUGUCAGGACGAGGUUUCCUCCUGUUCCUAACAUGGUGUGGGGCACAUUAGGGCGUUGUAGGGCCUCUCCCCCCAUCCG